UUGCAUAUGAUCGAAAUAGGUGCCCUACGGGCUUAAUAGGGAAGUUUGGUGUAAAACCAACACGGUCCCGCCGCUGUGACGGAGAGCAAACCUGCAUAAUGCCACUGGAUAUCCCGGGAAGGCGCAGGUAAGCAAUGACCCUAAGUCAGAAGAACUGCCUAUUUAAAAGUCACCGU
This is a regulatory RNA element of Propionispora sp. 2/2-37, 176 nucleotides long. NCBI's taxonomy places the organism in Bacteria, Bacillati, Bacillota, Negativicutes, Selenomonadales, Sporomusaceae. The record is from Rfam.